RNAcentral lists this long non-coding RNA (854 nucleotides) under Capra hircus (goat). RNAcentral's name for it is "lncRNA (ENSCHIG00000007952.1)". Lineage: Eukaryota; Metazoa; Chordata; Mammalia; Artiodactyla; Bovidae. The record is from RNAcentral.
AUUCACGGCGCUUUAACAUGAUCCAGGUGAUGUUAGCGUCCUGCUAGUGGUCCACGUGGUCCACGAUGAGGAGGUGGAUUCGGCCCCACCCCCUGCUACAGUGAGCCAAUGAGCUCAGUCACACAAAACAGUGCUGACGUCAGCAGUCUCCGGGACAAAGGAGGGAUCCAAGCAGGCAGGCUGUGAGGAUGGCGAGGGUGGUCCACCACAGUGCGAUGAGCAACCACCAGCGCCAGGCUUGACGUCAGAAGGAUGAGUGGUGCACUCCAGAAGGUUCUGUGAGCUCAGAGCCUCCCGGAUCUUCCUGAGAGAAGAGAAGAGAAAGCACGAAGCACUCACACCUGCUCUUGAGAGCCUUGACCAGAAGUGGCAGAAGUCAUUCUCCGGCACCAGCCUGUCAUGUGACCCCAUUAACCUGCAGGAGGCCUGCAAGUGCAGUCCCAGGUGCCUGGAAGAAGCAGAGAACCACAGAUGGGUUUUCCUGCUGGUGGCCAGGUGUGACUUUGGGUGGAGCAUUAGGAAGCAGGCUGCAAGCUCAAUGUAAGCUGUGCUCUUCAAUCCACUUGAAAAGCUGCCAGUUUGGGCUGAAUCUGACCUCCUAACUGGUCCCAAAUUCAGUUAGCUGUAAGGAAAAUGGUCGUCAGAGCUCCAGAAAUCACAGCAGAGCUAUUGAGAACUUAACUAAGGUUGUUGUGGUGAAUAAAUGAAUAAGUACAAGGCACUUAACCUGGUACCUGGUUACAUGGCAGAUCUCCAGUAUUAGUUCUUAUUUUAAAAUUCUUGUAAUUUGUUCGUUUUCUUUAUAAACAAAUUAAAUUCUUCUUAAAACUGAACACCCUUUUAGUUUUGUUUAG